CACACUGGUGGAAUCACAGGUGUCCUGCCGCUGCCUCAGUGCGCAGGGUGAAACGGGAAGCCGGUCCGGGUGCCACCACCCCAAUCCGGCGCUGCCCCCGCAACGGUAGGCGAGAACACCCGGCGACACGCCACUGCGCAGAUGCGCGGGAAGGCGCCGGGGUGGGGCCUUGGCCCCGCUCGCAAGCCCGGAGACCGGCCUGUGUCGGCGCGUAUGC
This 217-nucleotide non-coding RNA is filed under the name Luteibacter yeojuensis. The record is from RNAcentral. Lineage: Bacteria; Pseudomonadati; Pseudomonadota; Gammaproteobacteria; Lysobacterales; Rhodanobacteraceae.